AUUGAACGCUGGCGGCAUGCCUUACACAUGCAAGUCGAACGGUAACAGGUCUUCGGACGCUGACGAGUGGCGAACGGGUGAGUAAUACAUCGGAACGUGCUCAGUCGUGGGGGAUAACUACUCGAAAGAGUAGCAAAUACCGCAUAUGAUAUGAGGAUGAAAGCGGGGGACAUUCGGGCCUCGCGCGAUGGGAGCGGACGAGGGCAGAUUAGGUAGUUGGUGGGAUAAAAGCUUACCAAGCCGACGAUCUGUAGCUGGUCUGAGAGGACGACCAGCCACACUGUGACUGAGACACGGCCCAGACUCCUACGGGAGGCAGCAGUGGGCAAUUUUGGACAAUUGGCGAAAGCCUGAUCCAGCAAUGCCGCGUGCAGGAUGAAGGCCUUCGGGUUGUAAACUGCUUUUGUACGGAACGAAAAAGUCUCCUCUAAUACAGGAGGCCCAUGACGGUACCGUAAGAAUAAGCACCGGCUAACUACGUGCCAGCCGCCGCCGUAA
Molecule: ribosomal RNA, 498 nt
Filed under: uncultured bacterium
Lineage: Bacteria
Description: partial 16S ribosomal RNA
Rfam family: Bacterial small subunit ribosomal RNA
Source: RNAcentral